CAUGCAUGUCUAAGUACACACGAAUUAAAAGUGAAACCGCAAAAGGCUCAUUAUAUCAGUUAUGGUUUAUUAGAUCGUUAACAGUUACUUGGAUAACUGUGGUAAUUCUAGAGCUAAUACAUGCAAUAUAAACACGGACCUUAUGGAACGUGUGCUUUUAUUAGGCUAAAACCAUGCGAUUUUUUCGAAAAUCGUUAUAAUGGUUGAACUCUAGAUAAUUUGCCGAUCGUAUGGUCUCGUACCGACGACAGAUCUUUCAAAUGUCUGCCCUAUCAACUAUUGAUGGUAGUAUCUAGGACUACCAUGGUUGCAACGGGUAACGGGGAAUCAGGGUUCGAUUCCGGAGAGGGAGCCUGAGAAACGGCUACCACAUCUAAGGAAGGCA
RNAcentral lists this ribosomal RNA (385 nucleotides) under Pipiza noctiluca. RNAcentral's name for it is "SSU rRNA". It matches the Rfam family "Eukaryotic small subunit ribosomal RNA", at positions 50 to 427 of the family's 1831-position model. Lineage: Eukaryota; Metazoa; Arthropoda; Insecta; Diptera; Syrphidae. The record is from RNAcentral.